UACCAGCACCCCGAGUGGUCGGGACGAUUAUUGGGCCUAAAGCAUCCGUAGCCGGUCCUACAAGUCUUCCGUUAAAUCCACCUGCUCAACAGAUGGGCUGCGGAAGAUACUAUAGGGCUAGGAGGCGGGAGAGGCAAGCGGUACUCAGUGGGUAGGGGUAAAAUCCUCUGAUCCAUUGAAGACCACCAGUGGCGAAGGCGGCUUGCCAGAACGCGCUCGACGAUGAGGGAUGAAAGCUGGGGGAGCAAACCGG
RNAcentral lists this ribosomal RNA (253 nucleotides) under uncultured bacterium. RNAcentral describes it as "partial 16S ribosomal RNA". It matches the Rfam family "Archaeal small subunit ribosomal RNA", at positions 474 to 727 of the family's 1478-position model. The record is from RNAcentral.